Molecule: unclassified non-coding RNA, 210 nt
Filed under: soil metagenome
Description: partial contains small subunit ribosomal RNA, internal transcribed spacer 1, and 5.8S ribosomal RNA
Source: RNAcentral
UCUCCGUUGGUGAACCAGCGGAGGGAUCAUUACAGGAUUCGCAAGACUCCCGUAACCACUGUGAACUUUACCUUUUGUUGCCUCGGCGGGUGCCGGACUCGCUCCAGCGCUCACGCCCGCCGGCGGCCCACAACUCAUUGUCUGAUUCUAAGCAUCUCCGAGCUAUACACAAACGAAUCAAAACUUUCAACAACGGAUCUCUUGGUUCUG